Long non-coding RNA from Rhea pennata, 1323 nucleotides. RefSeq lists it as uncharacterized. Lineage: Eukaryota; Metazoa; Chordata; Aves; Rheiformes; Rheidae. The transcript is spliced from 3 exons. The record is from RefSeq and is a predicted model, not a curated record.
AGGGGGAGGCAGCGGAGAGCCUGCCGGCUGCGCCAGUUCCCCGGAGCCCACCGGCCGUCCCCUCCAGGGGCACCUAUCCGUCUAUAGGGAGAGAGGGCGGCAACCAGCAAGACCAUUUCAGCACCCUUCAAAGAGGCGUCCGGCGAAAUGCUAACCUAGGGGAGACUUGGACGGAAACCAGUGUUCCGCACCACUAGCAGCAGCCCCACGAGGAGCUGCCUUCUGUAUUUCUGCAGGUGCAUUUCCAGCCGGAUCGUACGUCGCUGUGUUCUCAUGCUUGUUUGUUGUUUCUCUUCUGAAGCUCCAAAGACUCCUCUACCCUGCCACCUCUCUCUGCUCACACACCAAACCCGCAGCUCCUCCCAUCCACACUGCAACAUCCUCUCCUGGGUGCAAGGCUCUCCUCCUGCUAUUAGGCAUAAAUGGGUAAGAGCUCUCUGGAAAUGUUCAGUUCCUUAAACUCCAGUGGAGACGUGGCGGGGAGGAGUAGCAACAACACUCCAGAGGCAUUUAUGGAAUUACACUGCACCAUUUUUGGCUGUGGUAACGAAUGUAAACACAUUUAUUUCAUUCUUAUAAAACAGUUGUGAUAAAUACUGCAUAAGGCAGAGAAAAAGGCAGGCCGCUGGGACUGUUUACUAAUAGAAGAGCUGGCGUCUUUUCAGGGCUUUUUUACAACAGCUGUCCAAGAAAAAAAAAAAUGUGUGUUUUACUAUAAAUAGAUCUAGUUUACUCGUAAAUCUCGCCAAAUUACAACACCUCUCUUACAACCUCCUGCAUCCCGGAAUCUUUUUUUUUCUCUCUCUCCCCCGCUUUUCGUGCCAUUGUUCAGCACAGAUCCGUCUCUUUUGUUACAUUGUCUCUCUCGCAGUGCUUCGGAUUUUUGCUGCCAACACUGCGCGUGGGAGCAACAUAGUAAGGAUGGCCAGAGCAGAGAGAAAAAUUCCCCUCCACAGCCAGGCGAGCGGAGCUGCCCACUCUCCGCGCCCAGAGGCGCCGGCGGCCCCCUCUCCCUACCGAGCCCCUUUCGUCGCUCGUUGCGGGCCGGGGUGCAGAAAGCGCCGUUUCCUGUCCAGAGCCGGGAGCGAAGGGGGCAAUUCCGGUGCUUAAGACUUUUCCGUGGGAGAUCUCGCAUGCCCCCACCCCCCAGUGCCCCCACUAUGGCCCCAGGGCUCACCAGGAGAGGCUUAGGCGACUUCUGAUUGCUGAAUCGCCCGAUUUGUUUAAAUCGAGUAUGGGAAAAGUUUAAAUCUCGUAGCGUAUUUUUCUUUUUCUUUCUUUUCUUUUUUUUCUUUUUCUUUAAAAAAAGAAAGAAAGAAAGAA